This 1346-nucleotide ribosomal RNA is filed under the name uncultured bacterium. RNAcentral describes it as "partial 16S ribosomal RNA". It matches the Rfam family "Bacterial small subunit ribosomal RNA", at positions 28 to 1381 of the family's 1533-position model. The record is from RNAcentral.
GACGAACGCUUGCGGCGUGCUUAACACAUGCAAGUCGAACGGAAAGGCCCUGCUUUUGUGGGGUGCUCGAGUGGCGAACGGGUGAGUAACACGUGAGUAACCUGCCCUUGACUUUGGGAUAACUUCAGGAAACUGGGGCUAAUACCGGAUAGGAGCUCCUGCUGCAUGGUGGGGGUUGGAAAGUUUCGGCGGUUGGGGAUGGACUCGCGGCUUAUCAGCUUGUUGGUGGGGUAGUGGCUUACCAAGGCUUUGACGGGUAGCCGGCCUGAGAGGGUGACCGGCCACAUUGGGACUGAGAUACGGCCCAGACUCCUACGGGAGGCAGCAGUGGGGAAUAUUGCACAAUGGGCGGAAGCCUGAUGCAGCAACGCCGCGUGCGGGAUGACGGCCUUCGGGUUGUAAACCGCUUUCGCCUGUGACGAGGCGUGAGUGACGGUAAUGGGUAAAGAAGCACCGGCUAACUACGUGCCAGCAGCCGCGGUGAUACGUAGGGUGCGAGCGUUGUCCGGAUUUAUUGGGCGUAAAGGGCUCGUAGGUGGUUGAUCGCGUCGGAAGUGUAAUCUUGGGGCUUAACCCUGAGCGUGCUUUCGAUACGGGUUGACUUGAGGAAGGUAGGGGAGAAUGGAAUUCCUGGUGGAGCGGUGGAAUGCGCAGAUAUCAGGAGGAACACCAGUGGCGAAGGCGGUUCUCUGGGCCUUUCCUGACGCUGAGGAGCGAAAGCGUGGGGAGCGAACAGGCUUAGAUACCCUGGUAGUCCACGCUGUAAACGGUGGGUACUAGGUGUGGGGUCCAUUCCACGGGUUCCGUGCCGUAGCUAACGCUUUAAGUACCCCGCCUGGGGAGUACGGCCGCAAGGCUAAAACUCAAAGGAAUUGACGGGGCCCCGCACAAGCGGCGGAGCAUGCGGAUUAAUUCGAUGCAACGCGUAGAACCUUACCUGGGUUUGUCAUGGAUCGGGAGUGCUCAGAGAUGGGUGUGCCUCUUUUGGGGUCGGUUCACAGGUGGUGCAUGGCUGUCGUCAGCUCGUGUCGUGAGAUGUUGGGUUAAGUCCCGCAACGAGCGCAACCCUUGUUCACUGUUGCCAGCACGUUAUGGUGGGGACUCAGUGGAGACCGCCGGGGUCAACUCGGAGGAAGGUGGGGAUGACGUCAAGUCAUCAUGCCCCUUAUGUCCAGGGCUUCACGCAUGCUACAAUGGCUGGUACAGAGAGUGGCGAGCCUGUGAGGGUGAGCGAAUCUCGGAAAGCCGGUCUCAGUUCGGAUUGGGGUCUGCAACUCGACCUCAUGAAGUCGGAGUCGCUAGUAAUCGCAGAUCAGCAACGCUGCGGUGAAUACGUUCCCGGGGCU